Molecule: long non-coding RNA, 1466 nt
Organism: Cercocebus atys (sooty mangabey)
Lineage: Eukaryota; Metazoa; Chordata; Mammalia; Primates; Cercopithecidae
Exons: 4
Source: RefSeq, a predicted model, not a curated record
GGGAGGGGGGCUUCACGGAGCUCCAGCCAGGGCCACGGUGCGCCUGCACGUCACGGCUACUCAAACCCAAGCACGUCCCGAAAGCGGUAUUUUCUGCGUCUGGGAGGUUUUUGCAUCCUCAGUUCCCACCGCUGGGGCUGGCGGCGACCAACUGUAAGAGAAACUCACUGGGAGGCGAGGCAGGGGGGUGCGGAGGAUGGGAAGGCGACUCUGAAGGGUGGGAAGUGAAUGCUGGACUUCAUCGUCUUUCUCUGUCUUUCAGCGCGGACCUGUCGCAGCCAGAGAGCUGUCAUUUUAGCACCGGGAUUCAGAAUUGAUCCAGUCCGCAGCGGAGGGGGCACAUCCCUGCUCCGGAGCUGCUGAGUGUCUCUGGCUGGAACAAUAGUAGUUUUUCUCUGCGAGGCUGCAAUUAACAUCUUAUUUGUUCUGGCUCCAUACAGGCUUUGUCAGGAUCGCGGUGCGGCGACCGAGGUUGGGCUCUUGCAUUGCUUUCUGCUUGGCAAUGGAAUCAUGGUUUCGGGGUCUAAACUUUUGUUUCAUUUUGUAGUCUUAAUGCAUCUGAUUCUUUUUCAAGUUUCCCUAGUAACAGGUUUGGGGACGGGGUGGGAAGAAACGAGAAAAGGGGUGAAGAGAAACAACCAGAUUAUAUAGAAAGGGAAAAGGGAUAAGUUUCCCCACCUUUUAAUCUAUCUGCCUGUCUAUCUAUCUAUUAUCUGUCUAUCAGUCAUUUUGCCUCCUGGACAGUUGGCUGACGAAGUGUCUGAUAAACCAGCUUCAGAUAUAUGCUACAAAAGGUCAUUCGCCUCCUGAUUAUGUCUCUACUUGUAAACGCAGUUGGUGGUUUGCAAAACAAGUGCUAAAAUAGUGCAAUGAUGUGGUGGGAGGAAACCAUCAUGGGCAAUUCAUAUCAAGUGCUGGAAUCUUCAUAAGGAAGUCCCACUUUACCAUUAAUGAUGACAAUAACUAAAGCUGCCAGGAACAGCACAUUUGCUGACCUUUAUAAACACCAGAUUCUCUCAUUUUGCCUUCUGGAUCUCCAUGCUCUUUUAUACCAGCAAACAAGAGGAAGAAUAUUCUUUACCCACUUCCUUGACUGAAGCCUGCUCUUUUAUGAAGACAUGGCAUCUCUUCCAACCGUGUCAAACAGAAGCAAUUUACGUGUAUGCCGCUUCCAUACCCUGAUUCAAUGAGUCAGGGGCAGAAUCACUAUUUACUACAUUUUCCUGGCUGGAUCACCAUGUUUACUGUGAUGGACAACUGCCCUUCCUGAUCCAAGACCCAUGCAACAGAGCAUUACUGAAGAAAUUCACACCCUCAGGCAUUAGAUGUCCCUGUAAAGUUAUAGUCAACAGGUUCUUAUGACCUCACCACAUAGACUGUUACUUAUAAGCUCCCUCUCUUAUUACAUCUAUGGAUAUUUUGUAACUUUUCUUUGAUCAUUAAAAAGCUUCUCCUCAACUCUUGAA